UUUGUUCAUUACAAUCUCCAGCUAGUGUAGUAUGACUAUCACUGUGCUUAUAACAUCUGGUUUAUAGUUCCUGUAUAAAAUAUCUCGCUGCUCCUUGGCCUCUCUCUGUAAGGAUCAAACUCUUGGUGUGGUGGUUUGUGGUUUUUCAGGGCUGUUUACUGGGCUCACAUGUCAGUGGUUUCCAGUCUCACAGAAGUGAUGUUUCCCUUGUCUCGGACAAGCCAUGACAAGCAUCCGGACGUCUACGCAGGUUUCGAUCUGAUGGACAAAAGGAGGCAAUAAAACAAAGAAAAGGGAAAGGAUUCCCUAAAACUGUGGUAAUUAGCCCCUAAGACUAAAGUGUACACGAAGAACAAAGACCCAAGGACAAAGGAUAGUGUUAUUAAGAAGUCCUUUCCAGGUACCACUAAAGCAGCAAUCCGAACCACAGAAAGAGGGUGAAUUCAUGACAGCAAAAUCAAAGAACUUGUGAAGAACCUUGAAGAAUGGAUUAUCAUAUUAAAACCGGGUGAUACCAAAUUGACUUUCAACUGGGACUGGGUGAUAACAGUUUGAGAAGACCCAAAUGAACCAAGGAAGGUGACAAUGGGAAAGUCAUCCUGGAAAAAACAAAGAAUAUCAGAAAGAAAUAACCCAGAUACCGGUCCAAAAGUGGGAAAACAAUGUUAAAAACUAACUGAUGAGGUAAUGUAUUGAGGAUGGGAUAGUGGAAGAAAUUAGGAUUCUUCCUUUGAUGUGUUACAACUGUUUUGAUGUUCUUUCCUUGUUUAAUCCCAUGUUUUAUUUGAUUACCAACAGAGUCCAAAGAAUGCAAGUGGAUAAGAAAUAUUGCUCAAGCCAAAUGAUUUAUAAAGAAGAGGAGGGAUUGUGAAAAAUGCAUACUUUAUGAUCGGCUUUUCGCAAAUAUUACAAUGAAUAUUUUAUGUGUAAUGUUAGAAAGCUAUACUGUAUUAAUUCUCUUAAAUAGUGUGUUAAAUAUAGUUUUAGGUUACAAGAUAAUAAAUAGAAAAUAGAAACUCUGCAAUGUAGGAUUUUUUUACUAGCUCAAGCAAGAGAUGAGAUAAUCAAGAAACUCUUCGCACAGAGAUGGCAGUGACAGGGCCCAUAAAGAGUUACUGCCUCCUUAUCGGAAAAGACAAACAUUCUUCCACGUUCUCUCCGUCUUUAUGGAACUACCAGGAUUAAGGGGAAGAAGUUGACAAAACCAGAAAAGUUCUUAAUUUGCAAGGAAUUUAUGCAUCAUGUAUAAGAUAUAUGAAUAUGCAACAGGCGAUUGCUUUUAAGGGUUAUUCCUUUGUUCACAAGACAUGCUUGUCGUGGCUUAAGUGCCCGAAAGCAUCCGGACAUGUGUAAGUCUUUGCUUUUUAUUGUCUUGUAAUUGUCCUAACUCUUAAUUUUUAUUACUCUAAUUGUAUUACUAUUUUUAUAACAAUUUUAUUAUUAUUAAACUUUUAAAAUUU
Long non-coding RNA from Vidua chalybeata, 1460 nucleotides. RefSeq lists it as uncharacterized. The record is from RefSeq and is a predicted model, not a curated record. The transcript is spliced from 5 exons. Lineage: Eukaryota; Metazoa; Chordata; Aves; Passeriformes; Viduidae.